Molecule: long non-coding RNA, 758 nt
Organism: Xyrauchen texanus (razorback sucker)
Lineage: Eukaryota; Metazoa; Chordata; Actinopteri; Cypriniformes; Catostomidae
Exons: 3
Source: RefSeq, a predicted model, not a curated record
CUGAUUCGUUCACCAAUGAAAAACUACAAGUAGGUCAGGGGGCACCUGUAUCAUAAGUUAUCAAUGUAGUGUUAUGAGGAGUGACUAAAAUCUCUUUCUCACACUGUUCAUUAUAUAUGGUGUUAAUAUACGUCUAGUCUAACGUUCUAAUAUUGAUCAUAUUCGAAAAUAAAAACAUAUAGGCCUAAUUGUGAUUCAAAUUUGCAAGGCAUACAAACAGCAUUGACUUCCGUGCAACGCUACGUAAUUUACCGCCUUUUUACAUUUAAAAUUGUAACGUCUUUUCAAACCGAACUCAGAAGAGCAGUGUGGAUUCAACGGAAGAAAAUGUGACUCACGGGGUGAACUCAAGAGACGAAGAACGUCAUACACAUCUGGGAUGGCACAAAGGUGAGUUAAUGAUGAGAGAAUUUUGUCCGCUGGGGGUCGGAGUUUUGACUCCGGUUCGCCCAGAGAGGAGCGGCUGUCGUCUGCCGGAGAGAGGAGUGUUCGAGGACCACGCGACGGUACAUCAGAGAACCGGUCGAGGAAGGCGAGGAUGACCUGACGGGGCGCAAAGCACGCCCCUCCGCAUGGAAAGGGUGGGGGGGGUGUAGGUCAUGACGGUGGCACCCCAGCCUGAGGUAACGCCGGAAGGAGUGUGGAGCGGAGGGGGGCGGUGCCGGGCUAGAAUGACGCACGCCCGGUCCCCAAUCGGCCUGAUGGGGCGCGCAAGGGAUUAAGGCAGCCAGUAAUGCUGGUUUGAGAGAGAGAGAAUU